CUACGGGAGGCUCCAGUGGGGAAUAUUGGGCAAUGGGCGUAAGCCUGACCCAGCAACGCCGCGUGAGGGAAGAAGGUUCUCGGAUUGUAAACCUCUGUCCUUGGGGACGAAGAAAGUGACGGUACCCAAGGAGGAAGCUCCGGCUAACUACGUGCCAGCAGCCGCGGUAAUACGUAGGGAGCAAGCGUUGUCCGGAAUUACUGGGCGUAAAGGGUGCGUAGGCGGCAUAUUAAGUCAGGUGUGAAAUAUUCGGGCUCAACCCGAAGGGUGCAUUUGAAACUGGUAUGCUUGAGUGUGGGAGAGGAAAGUGGAAUUCCUAGUGUAGCGGUGAAAUGCGUAGAUAUUAGGAGGAACACCAGUGGCGAAGGCGACUUUCUGGCUCAUAACUGACGCUGAGGCACGAAAGCGUGGGUAGCAAACAGGAUUAGAUACCCGAGUAGUC
RNAcentral lists this ribosomal RNA (442 nucleotides) under uncultured bacterium. Its description in RNAcentral is "partial 16S ribosomal RNA". It matches the Rfam family "Bacterial small subunit ribosomal RNA", at positions 339 to 795 of the family's 1533-position model. The record is from RNAcentral.